AAAACGCAUUUCCAAUUCGAGCGUCAAAUCGAGAGGGCUGAACAACAACUAAGCGGCCUUUGGUCAAAACCAGGGUCAUUCCUCCGACCCAGGACGGUUGGAGACUGUCGUUUUCACCUUGGAAAAUGAAUAUGAGAGGACUUAUUUCAUCUGCCUCGUCGAAUAACAACCUCCCUCCGGUGGCCACCCCCAUGGCCGCCGCCCCCCAACCCUCUUCUAUCUCCGAGUGAUCCGAAUUCGACUUCCGUUGACCCUCUGAAGAGAGCAGGGAAAGAACCAUUAUUCACAGACAUUUGUCACUUCUCAGGGCGUUUCCCUGGCCGUUGUCCAACGUCCACACCUGAAAGCGUUCCCCUUUUGGAAAAUGAACGCAAGCUCAGAACAAAAAUUACAAAAUCCAUCUGUCCGAAAUUCACAGACUGUGCUGAUCUUGAACAUUGUUGUCGAAAAAUGCUACUGCGGCGAAAUGCAAAACUUUAGAGGCCUCGCAGUGGAAACUAUCUGCCGUCUGUCGGCACGGGAGGGUGGCAAAUUAAUUUAGAAAAAUAAUAAUAACCUGGUGUCAGAUAAUACAACGAACGGUUGGUUGCCGUACGGUUUCUGCCAGUGGUUCAGCCACUUCGUCAUUUUCAGGCACAAAGGAAACAAGUCUUGGCUAGUUGGAACCCGCCAGUCAAAAAGUUUCCACAGAUUCGGAGAUGACGGUGUAACCACUUGGAAGAGCGAGUAUGGUUCAUUUUGGAAAACUGUCGCUUGAACACUUAAAAAGCCAAAAUGAUAACCACCCUAAGCGGAUCUAAAUCUUGCAUAUACAACAUUUAAACAGAGGUGAUUUUCCUGUGCGGAGUGUCGUUUCGUUGCAUAUAUAAGAUCUUGCUCCGCUUAAAUUGGUUAUAAAUUUGGGAUUUUGGUUGUUUAUUGGCGACCGUCAUCCAAAAAGGUCCAUACACGUCCAAUUCUUGCGAAAAAAGGCGGAAUCUCUGCCUCUAGGUUCCCACCAUCCAAGAUUUGUUUCUUUUUAGGCUGAAAACGACGAUGUGUCAGCAGUCAGGAGUUUAUUAGGAUCGUAUGAUAAUUUUCCGUUCGUUGACUGGUCGAACACCAAAUCAAAGCCGCCAUCCAGUACCCACAGACGGCCGACAGAAUCCACUUCGAGACCUCUGACUUUUUGGAUUGUGUUGCACUUUCCUUCUUCUCCGAUAAUGUUUGUUCAGCACAAACACUCCGUCUUUGAAUUCACAACUAACGGGCUUGCGUCCAUUUCCCAUGAUGGGAACACAUUUAUUUUUGGACAAAUUGGACACCAGGGUCGCCUCUGCGAGGCCUUUUCCCUGCUCUCUCCCGAGGGCCAAUCGAAGUCCAAUUCGUCCCACUCGGGGAUAGAUCUGUUGGUGGUUGAAAAAGCUCAGAGUUGAAACUCUCUGCCGAGAAAUCCUCGCCAAAAUGGAGAAGAAAUAAUCCAAGUUUCUUCCGUGUUCGAGGACAACACAUUUGAAGAAGACCAGGAACUCCAAACCAGAGUGACAGGACAAGAACGCCAUAUUUAUGAAUUCUGUAAUUUGCAAAAGGUGGUUUUAAAUAAAAUUGUAGCCUGGGGAAGCUAUAAUAUAU
Long non-coding RNA from Cloeon dipterum, 1611 nucleotides. RefSeq lists it as uncharacterized. The transcript has 3 exons. The record is from RefSeq and is a predicted model, not a curated record. NCBI's taxonomy places the organism in Eukaryota, Metazoa, Arthropoda, Insecta, Ephemeroptera, Baetidae.